Molecule: unclassified non-coding RNA, 256 nt
Filed under: plant metagenome
Description: partial contains small subunit ribosomal RNA and internal transcribed spacer 1
Rfam family: Eukaryotic small subunit ribosomal RNA (bases 1-46)
Source: RNAcentral
AAGUCGUAACAAGGUUUCCGUAGGUGAACCUGCGGAAGGAUCAUUAUUGAGAUAGUCAGAAGCCUAUUAGGUCACCCAAACGCUUGAAAAUAUUAGCGGAAUGGGCAGUAAUUACAAAUCGGCAUGACCGUUUGAAUCAAGGGCAGCUAUCCACCCGUGUAUAUAUACUCUGUUAUCUUUCCGGGCGUCAUAACCCCGGAGAAGAACCCAAUCUUGAAUUUUAUGGAACGUCUGAGUACUAUAUAAUAGUUAAAAA